This 510-nucleotide ribosomal RNA is filed under the name uncultured bacterium. Its description in RNAcentral is "partial 16S ribosomal RNA". It matches the Rfam family "Bacterial small subunit ribosomal RNA", at positions 28 to 507 of the family's 1533-position model. The record is from RNAcentral.
GACGAACGCUGGCGGCGUGCUUAACACAUGCAGGUCGAACGAAGAGCGAUGGAAGCUUGCUUCUAUCAAUCUUAGUGGCGAACGGGUGAGUAACGCGUAAUCAACCUGCCCUUCAGAGGGGGACAACAGUUGGAAACGACUGCUAAUACCGCAUACGAUCUAAUCUCGGCAUCGAGGAUAGAUGAAAGGUGGCCUCUACAUGUAAGCUAUCACUGAAGGAGGGGAUUGCGUCUGAUUAGCUAGUUGGAGGGGUAACGGCCCACCAAGGCGAUGAUCAGUAGCCGGUCUGAGAGGAUGAACGGCCACAUUGGGACUGAGACACGGCCCAGACUCCUACGGGAGUCAGCAGUGGGGAAUCUUCCGCAAUGGACGAAAGUCUGACGGAGCAACGCCGCGUGAGUGAUGACGGCCUUCGGGUUGUAAAGCUCUGUUAAUCGGGACGAAAGGCCUUCUUGCGAAUAGUGAGAAGGAUUGACGGUACCGGAAGAGAAAGCCACGGCUAACUACGUG